GGCAGAUGAGAGAAUCAGCGCAACUUUUUGAAAAAGAGACCCUCCCGUUCGUCUUCUUCUUCUUCACAAAUCAACAACUAGAGCCCCCGGGUCAUGUCUUCAUCUUCUUCAACCCUUACAUACCCUAAUCCCCCUUGUUUUUCGUCUCCACCCCAAAAUCAGUCAAAUCAGCCAUUAAAAUUAACCCCAAACAGUCACCAAAAAUCGGUAAAUGGUUGUUUCCUUCAGCUGAAUUUAAAAAGGAAUUCGAAAAGGUCGAGUCCAAAGUCUAUUGUGUCGUCGGGGUUCGAGUUUCUACCCGUAGAUGUUUCGGACGUGUUGAAGUCUCAUUACUGUUGAAGUUGUCGAAUCUGCUGGGUUAUCUGGUUCAGAGCUGUGGAUUUGUGCUCUAGUUGCUAUUGCUGUUGAUCUUCCUUAUAAAUAGAACUCGGAGUUGUUUGUGGUUGUUUCUCCUUCAAUUAGUAGCUGAACACCCAUUUGAAGUUAUUUUCGGCCUUUAUUUGGCUAUUUUAAAGUCUUACUACUGCUGUCCAGAAAUUUUCAUAUAUAAAAAGUUGUUUUGGAGCCGUGGAAUUGCCGCUCGUUGUCCGUUGAUUUGCGUUGUCAUUACACAGUUUCUCGUUGUUGUUCUAUUGCUAUGGAGCUUCAUUUGUUUUUAAUUCCAUACUUUAUUUGAUUAAUUUCUGCCGGAAAAAGGAAAUGACUGGAGUUGUGUACUGCAUUUGGAGCUGUGUAGUCAAAUGUAUUUGCUGAAGAACCCGAAAUCACUGCGUGAGAUUUGCUGGUUCUCAUCGAAAUUUUUGGAGUCAAAUAUAGAGUAGUGGCUGACUAUUUCUACUGCUAUCAAGGAGAUAUUCGCUGGAACAGGUACAUUUCCCCCUCUCUGUUACUUAUUUACUUAUUCAUUUUCUGUAUUUAUGAUGAAUUGGGGUCCAUUUCUCUUUCCUUUCCUAAUUUGGUACUAUUGUAUUCCUUAGUUUAAUUAAUUUACCUGAUGUACUUAUUGGUGCUUGGUUCGUUUAUUAUGUGAUAGAAUUUGAUGAAUGUCCAGUUAUAAGCCAUUUGUUUGUUUCAGCCAUAAAGUGUGUUUGUUGGAUUAUGGAAAAAUGGGGUAAAUUAAAGAAGUCAGCAUUUUAUUGUCACUCAAUUUCCUUUUAUUUGUGUUGUAAUUAUCCUACUGUUUCGAUUGUUCUGUAGUUCAUUUAGUUGAAAUGCUUUUUCUUUAAUAAUUUGAGGUGUGCCAUUUCAUUAAAUAACUCAUGGCCCUCAUUUAGUUAAUUUUAACUCUUUAGAAAUCGAGGUGCGCCAUUAAUUGAAUUUUCCAUGGCCCUCGCAAAUCUUGUCAUUAACUUGAAAGUGCGUAGUUGCUUUGGGCGCGCUAUUUAAAUUAAUUUCCUUAAACUCGGGUGUGCAUUUCAUGUGACCCAACUCCAGUUCUCAACAACGUUAAAUAGAAUGUGUCAUGGACCGCAGGUGCAUUCCAUGUGGCGUGGUUCAAGGCGUGUUUUAAAUAACGUUGAAUCUUCCUAAAAUUAAUUAAAAGCGGCUAAUAAGUUAAAAAUGUACCAUAGGCUAAAACAUGUAUUAAAAUCAGAUAAUAGGCCAAUUGUGAUAGUUUAAGCGACCGCGCUAGAAUACGAAAUCUAGGGGUGCCUAAUACCUUCCCUCGGGUUAACAGAAUUCCUUAUUCAAAAUUUCUGGUUCACAUACUUCAAAAGGAAAGUCGAAAUUUCCUCGAUUUGGGAUUUAAAAUAAACUGGUGACUUGGGACACUAAUAAAUAUUCCAAGUGGCAACUCUGAGAAAUUAAAUAAAAUAAUCUCAUUUUGAAUAAUGUCACUUAAAGUGAAAAAACUCCUUUAUAUACCACAUUUUGAGUCUACUUUAAGCCUUCAUGCCGACCCUUCUGUCCAACUAUCCAAAAACUUUCAAAUAAAGACCUCCUGAUAUGCCUUCAAAAAUGCCAAGAGGAGCAUGCAAUGAGCAACGGUUGUCACGCGACAUAGAACACUAUCAAGAUGCUCACACAAGAAAAGUGAAAAAAAAAGAAAACGAAAAAAUGAAUGAGAGAGUCUUACUAGUGAAAACCUUUACGGGCAUUGUAAGACAAUGGUAAGAAGAGAUAAAUAAAUGAGAGAGACUUGUUAGUGAAAAUCCCUCGGGGCACCACUACUCAAAAGCGAGUCGUGAAGCUGAUGCAAAGAAUUGACAUAAACAAGGCCGACUUUAAAGGUCAUAAGAAUGUUAAAAAGGAAUAUUGGAUUAGUUUGAUAGAUCAGGCCGUUGAGUCUAAAAUGCAUGUCAUGAUCAUUAAGGCUAGUUAUUGAAAAAAAAAGAACUCCUCCUUCUGUCCUUCCGACAUGGGCAUUUCUUGUUGAUACUUAUUUCUUUGCAUCAUUGUAUCAUUUACUCUGAGUCGGUCCUUGUCAAAACAAGCAAGAAAAGACUUCAAAAUCUGCUACCAGCUUUUCAGUUGCACAAAGUAAAUUUGGCCAGCACACUCAGUUGUUACUUUCAACAUGACUUGAGGUUUCAUGCAAAGUCUUCCCCAGAAGACUCUUGUCAGCCUACUUAGUGCAAGCAAAGAUAAAUGGUGAGUCUCUCUGACAGACAAAUUGCUCAAAAGCAGGAAGUCAUUCAAGAUAUCGGAAAAGGUCACCUAAACAAAGAUCUCCAAUUGGGAUAAGGCUGUUGGAGCUGCAAAUAUAAAUGGUACUGGUGUGAAACAAUCAAAGUUGGUGUAGAACAAAAGUCUUUUGAGACCGACUGAAGUUGAUUGAGCAGAAGCCAAGCCGCCCAAGAUUCAAGGCCACAAACCGACCACCAUUUUCAAAACUGACAAAUUUUUCUUUGUAUGAAACGGGAACAAAGCGGUGCAAGGAAAGUGAUUCAAAAAGAAAAAAAAUGGAAAAAAAACAAAAACAACAAAAAAAAAAGAGAAGAAAAAGGAAAAUCGAGAAGAGCCGACAAAAGGAAGUUUCUCAAAUGUUUGCCUUUAUUUGACUUACUAUUGUGCAUAAAUUCUUGCCAUUGAUCUUCACAUUUUUCCUCCUAGGAUAAAAAGUCCUAGUCUGAUGGAUUUUCCUCCCAAUCUAAAUCUUAGUCUGAUGAAUCUUUCUCCUAAGAUAGAAAACCUAGUCUGAUGAAUUUUCUCUUAGGAUCAAAAUCUUAGUUUGAUGAAUCUUUCUCCUAAGAUAGAGAACCUAGUCUGAUGAACUUUCUCCUAGGNNNNNNNNNNNNNNNNNNNNNNNNNAAUGCAAUUCAGGUCAGCAACAAAAGAAGCUCGUAUCAAGAAUGUGAGUCAGCAUUCCAAGAUGAUCAACAGAAGUUAGUCACAAUCCAGAAUAAAAACAACAACAACAACAACAACAACAACAACAACAAAAAGAAAGACAAGAAGUGAAUCCAAAUGCAGAAGUUAAUGAAAGAUGUGAGCUGCUCAAGACAAGGCUGAGGUCACAAGCUCUGCAUGUCCCGUCUUGGUUUGAAAAGUUGAAGAAGAUUGAACCAAUACCUACGGCUGACAAGCAUCAAAAUUCAGAUUAGGGUCCGCAUGAAGAACCAACCAAUACUCAAAAUCAAGCUUCAGAAGACUCAUAGAUAUGAAUCUUGUAACUCGUAACUGAUAGGCUUAGUUGGUCUUUUUCAUUUUUUAUUUUGAUGUAAUAACGGGACCGCAGACCGGAACCUCAGCGAAACGGCACCUCGACUGGCUCUCAACCUCGGCACACUCCAUCAUCUCACUCACUUCUGAACUACACGUGGCCUGAUUCCUUUAUAGCCAAGGAUAUGUAGGCAAUUCAGAUACCAGGGCUCGGUCACAUUCCCCUUUUCUCUUAGCUUUAGUCUCUCCAAAUAAGGGUCAGGUCAAAAAACCUGUCUAGUCGUUCUUUGUCUGAAAACUCUUCGCGUUUCCAGUCAAAGAGGGGCAACUAUAGACAUGUGAUUUUUGACCCUCCCCAAGAUUUUUUAUAUUUUAGUAUGUAAAUAUUUAAUUUAGGCCUAAUAGCGUUAUUUUAACUCUCUCACUUUAUUUUAUUACAAGAAAAUGAAAAUUACAAAAAAAUAGUUUCAUUAAUGUUUUGUAGUCUUUUUUAAUCUCUAAAAAUACCAAAAAAUAGAUUUUGUUUUAACGAUUAGUCUUUAUUUUAAUAAUUAUUUUUACUUAAGAAGGCUUAAUUAAUAUUUUUGAUAAUAUUGCUAUAUGGAUAGACUUUUAGUUAAUUAAGCUAAUUUUAAACAUAGCUAGUCAUAAAUGCCCAAGUUUCUAGCCCAUUCCUUAAGCUUAAUAUCCAAUACCCAUUAAGUUAAUCCUAGGAACCUUUCUAGACUCUUCUUUGGAACAGAAAAUAAAUAAAAAGGCCCUAAGGACUUAACAUAAAAAGACCUAGGGACUAAUUGUCAAAAUACACAAAAAAACACAUUAAACCUAGACCUAUAUUAGGUAACGCCUAAUACACUAAAAAGGGGAGAUGAGAGAAUCAACGCAGCUUUUUGAAAAAGAGACCCUCCCGUUCGUCUUCUUCUUCACAAAUCAACAACCAGAGAGACCCCCCAGUCACGUCUUUAUCUUCUUCAACCCUUACACACCCUAAUCCCCCUUGUUUCUUUGUCUCCACCUCAAAACCAGUCAAAGCAGCCAUUAAAAUUAACCCCAAACAGUCACAAAAAAUCGGUAAAUGGUUGUUUCCUUCAGCUGAAUUUAAAAAGGAAUUCGAAAAGGUCGAGUCCAAAGUAUAUUGUGUCAUCGGGGUUCGAGUUUCUGCCCGUCGAUGUUUCGGACUUGUUGAAGUCUCAUUACUGUUGAAGUUGUCGAAUCUGCUAGGUUAUCUGGUUCAGAGCUAUGGAUUUGUGCUCUAGUUGCUAUUGUUGUUGAUCUUCCUUACAAAUAGAAGUCGGAGCUGUUUGCGGUUGUUUCUCCUGCAAUUAGUAGCUGAACACCCAUUUGAAGUUAUUUUCGGCCUUUAUUUGACUAUUUUAAAGUCUUACUACUGCUGUCCAGAAAUUUUCAUAUAUAAAAAGCUGUUUUGGAGCCGUGGAAUUGCCGCUCGUUGUCCGUUGAUUUGCGUUGUCAUUACACAGUUUCUCGUUGCUGUUCUAUUGCUAUGGAGCUUCAUUUGUUUUUAAUUUCAUACUUUAUUUGAUUAAUUUCUGCCGGAAAAAGGAAAUGACUGGAGUUGUGUACUGCAUUUGGAGCUGUGUAGUCAAAUGCAUUUGCUGAAGAACCCGAAAUCACUGCGUGAGAUCCGCUGGUUCUCAUCGGAAUUUUGGGAGUCAAAUGUAAAGUAGUGGCUGACUAUUUCUACUUCUAUCAAGGAGAUAUUCGCUGGAACAGGUACAUUUCCCCCCUCUCUGUUACUUAUUUACUUAUUCAUUUGCUGUAUUUAUAGUGAAUUGGGGUCCAUUUCUCUUUCCUUUCCUAAUUUGGUAUUACUGUAUUCCUUAGUUUAAUUAACUCCCCUGAUGUACUUAUUGGUGCUUGGUUCAUUUAUAACGUGAUAGCAUUUGAUGAAUGUCCAGUUAUAAGCCAUUUGUUUGUUUCUGCCUUAAAGUGUGUUUGUUGGAUUGUGGAAAAAUGGGGUAAAUUAAAGAAGUCAGCAUUUUAUUGUCACUCAAUUUUCUUUUAUUUGUGUUGUAAUUAUCCUACUGUUUCGAUUGUUCGGAGUAUGCCUAGGCUGUUAAUAUUAAUGAGCAUUUGUAUUUUGCUUUAGGCAUGCAAUAUGAUCAUCGCAAUUACGGAUACGGUUCUCGUGACGUAGUUGUGGUACCUAAUUAGUUUUAAACAUGAAUAGCUGUAGUUCAUUUAGUUGAAAUGCUUUUCCUUUAAUAAUUUGAGGUGUGCCAUUUUCAUUAAAUGACCCAUGGCCCACAUUUAGUUAAUUUUAACUCUUUAGAAAUCGAGGUGCGCCAUUAGUUGAAUUUUUCAUGGCCCUCGCAAAUCUUGUCAUUAACUUGAAAGUGCGUAGUUGCUUUGGGCGCGCUAUUUAAAUUAAUUUCC
RNAcentral lists this long non-coding RNA (5997 nucleotides) under Nicotiana tabacum (common tobacco). RNAcentral describes it as "long non-coding RNA (NTAB_LNC016626)". The record is from RNAcentral. Lineage: Eukaryota; Viridiplantae; Streptophyta; Magnoliopsida; Solanales; Solanaceae.